GGGAGUGUAGCUCAGUGGUAGAGCACUUGCCUGGCAUUCUCAAGGUUUUAGGUUUGAACCCUACCACUGACU
Molecule: transfer RNA, 72 nt
Filed under: Heterocephalus glaber (naked mole-rat)
Lineage: Eukaryota; Metazoa; Chordata; Mammalia; Rodentia; Bathyergidae
Rfam family: tRNA
About the family: Transfer RNA (tRNA) molecules are approximately 80 nucleotides in length. Their secondary structure includes four short double-helical elements and three loops (D, anti-codon, and T loops).
Source: Rfam by way of RNAcentral